This 1315-nucleotide long non-coding RNA is filed under the name Homo sapiens (human). Its description in RNAcentral is "long non-coding RNA NONHSAT157584.1". The record is from RNAcentral. Lineage: Eukaryota; Metazoa; Chordata; Mammalia; Primates; Hominidae.
CUGGGCAACAAGAGCAAAACUCCGUCUCAAAAAAAAAAAAAAAAAAAAAAAAAAUUCCCUCUUAAAGUAAGAAAAUGGAGGCCCAAACUUCGUGGCUGUCCAAAGGCUGUGUGACCCGUUGGGCAUUGGAACCAGUCCAGCCAUCUUUGUCAGUCCGUUGCUUUUACCCCUGUGGUUUAGGGCAGUCAGUUUUCUUGCCCUUAAAUUAUCAAAAGCCCUUUGAUUUUAUUAGUAGUAGAAGUUCUAGCUUGUUCCCGCUGCCAAAGUGUCCUUGUACUGACAAAUGUAGACCAGCAGUGUUCGAUGCAAUUUUCUUCAAGGAAGAAAAUGUGUCUGCUGGCCAGUAUGGUAGUCAGCAGUCACAUUUGGCAGCCAAGCACUUAGAAUAUAUGGUUGAUGGUCCUAAGGAAAUAUCUCCGUUUUACUUUAAAUGUAAGUAACCACAUAUGGGUAGUGGCUAACGAGUGGGACGGCACAGAUCUGGGUGUUCUCAUUUGUUCUCCACGCCCCAGGCAUCAGGUAAGGUCAGGUUAUGAGUUUAAACUGUCUGUUAUAUUUGUAAACUCUAAGCCCCAGCUUGGACUGGAUGUACUUAUAAUUAUCCAUUUGGUCUAACAGUAAGAACCUGACCUGUCAUUGUAAAUGGCUACAGGGAUGAAGGUGGCUGGAGAAGAGGACCAGCUGAGGAAUCUUCAAGCUGGAGAGACUCAAGUCGCCGGGACGAUAGGGAUAGGGAUGACCGUCGCCGUGAGAGGGAUGACCGGCGUGAUCUAAGAGAAAGACGAGAUCUAAGAGACGACAGGGACCGAAGAGGACCUCCACUCAGAUCAGAACGUGAAGAAGUAAGUUCUUGGAGACGUGCUGAUGACAGGAAAGAUGACCGGGUGGAAGAGCGGGACCCUCCUCGUCGAGUUCCUCCCCCAGCUCUUUCAAGAGACCGAGAAAGAGACCGAGACCGAGAAAGAGAAGGUGAAAAAGAGAAGGCCUCAUGGAGAGCUGAGAAAGAUAGGGAAUCUCUCCGUCGUACUAAAAAUGAGACUGAUGAAGAUGGAUGGACCACAGUACGACGUUAAGUCUCAAGAUAAUGGAUUUAAACUGGUGUCUUAAAUAGGUUUGAUCACAUUCAAGGAUUAUUAUACUUGUGCUUCAACCAAUCUAAAUUGGAUUCUUUAAUGUUGUUUCACCAUAACACAAAAAGCAUGAACUUGUAUUAAUCCUAUAUAAUAGAUUGAUCAUGCACCAUAUCCACAGGAGGUUGGAAAAACCAUGCCAUUUUCUGGAAUUUAAGGGUGUUGCAUUAUUUCAUCAAUCAUUU